UCUCUUGUGCUCGGGCAUGUACAGUCGGCUGUGAGGUUUUUACCGAGCCACUGUCUUUUGCUGAUUGCAAAUUACCAAUCCUAAUCGUCUGUCGUCUUCGGACUUCAGCAAUUUUUGGAACUUCCAACUUUUUUGGUG
Fistulina hepatica ATCC 64428 is the source of this 138-nucleotide small nuclear RNA. It matches the Rfam family "U4 spliceosomal RNA". From Rfam's summary of the family: U4 small nuclear RNA (U4 snRNA) is a component of the major U2-dependent spliceosome. Lineage: Eukaryota; Fungi; Basidiomycota; Agaricomycetes; Agaricales; Fistulinaceae. The record is from Rfam.